This 465-nucleotide ribosomal RNA is filed under the name Vreelandella stevensii. RNAcentral's name for it is "partial 16S ribosomal RNA". It matches the Rfam family "Bacterial small subunit ribosomal RNA", at positions 338 to 795 of the family's 1533-position model. Lineage: Bacteria; Pseudomonadati; Pseudomonadota; Gammaproteobacteria; Oceanospirillales; Halomonadaceae. The record is from RNAcentral.
CCUACGGGUGGCAGCAGUGGGGAAUAUUGGACAAUGGGCGAAAGCCUGAUCCAGCCAUGCCGCGUGUGUGAAGAAGGCCUUCGGGUUGUAAAGCACUUUCAGUGGGGAAGAAAGCCUUGGGGCUAAUACCCUCGAGGAAGGACAUCACCCACAGAAGAAGCACCGGCUAACUCCGUGCCAGCAGCCGCGGUAAUACGGAGGGUGCGAGCGUUAAUCGGAAUUACUGUGCGUAAAGCGCGCGUAGGCGGUCUGAUAAGCCGGUUGUGAAAGCCCCGGGCUCAACCUGGGAACGGCAUCCGGAACUGUCAGGCUAGAGUGCAGGAGAGGAAGGUAGAAUUCCCGGUGUAGCGGUGAAAUGCGUAGAGAUCGGGAGGAAUACCAGUGGCGAAGGCGGCCUUCUGGACUGACACUGACGCUGAGGUGCGAAAGCGUGGGUAGCAAACAGGAUUAGAUACCCUAGUAGUC